GAUGAACGCUGGCGGCGUGCCUAAUACAUGCAAGUAGAACGCUGAAGCUUGGUGCUUGCACCGAGCGGAUGAGUUGCGAACGGGUGAGUAACGCGUAGGUAACCUGCCUCUUAGCGGGGGAUAACUAUUGGAAACGAUAGCUAAUACCGCAUAAAAGUCGAUAUCGCAUGAUAUUGAUUUGAAAGGUGCAAAUGCAUCACUAAGAGAUGGACCUGCGUUGUAUUAGCUAGUUGGUGAGGUAACGGCUCACCAAGGCGACGAUACAUAGCCGACCUGAGAGGGUGAUCGGCCACACUGGGAAUGAGACACGGCCCAGACUCCUACGGGAGGCAGCAGUAGGGAAUCUUCGGCAAUGGGGGCAACCCUGACCGAGCAACGCCGCGUGAGGGAAGAAGGUUUUCGGAUCGUAAAGCUCUGUUGUAAGAGAAGAACGAGUGUGAGAGUGGAAAGUUCACACUGUGACGGUAACUUACCAGAAAGAGACGGCUAACUACGUG
RNAcentral lists this ribosomal RNA (497 nucleotides) under uncultured bacterium. Its description in RNAcentral is "partial 16S ribosomal RNA". It matches the Rfam family "Bacterial small subunit ribosomal RNA", at positions 28 to 507 of the family's 1533-position model. The record is from RNAcentral.